ACGGGGAAUGUGAAAAAUUUUGCAAAAUUUUCUGGGAUGUAAACAAGGCCAUAGUGCAGUGUUAGUGAUGUUCUCUAAAUCCGUCAUAGGAAAUAUGGCAUGGAUUAAUAUAUUUGUUGAAACAUGCACCUGAGCUAGCAUUUGACACAUUCUCCGAAAUUCUGGAAAACCUUCGGACAAGAUUUUUCUAAGUUUUGUUUUUUUUGUGACAUUAUUGUCGAUUUAUCGGUUUCUCUUGUUUUUGUUUAAGGACUGAGACGAGUGUUUAAAACAAAGUGGCAGCCUAUGCUUAGUAGAUGACCCUUGCCUUGUUUAUGUGAAGAUUAGGCCUUGUUUAGUUCGCAAAAACUUUUGGUUCAGGUACUGUAGCACUUUCGUUUUUAUUUGAUAAACAUUAUCCAAUCAUAGAGUAACUAGACUUAAAAGAUUCAUCUCACGGUUUACAGACAAACUGUGUAAUUAGUUUUUAUUUUUAUUUAUAUUUAAUGCUUCAUGUAUGUGCCUAAGAUUCGAUGUGACGAGAAAUCUUGAAAAUUUUUGGGUUUUUAGGUGAACUCAGGCCUUGUUUAGUUGCCGAAAUGAAAAGAUUUCGGCUACUGUAGCACUUUCGUUUGUUUGUGAUAAAUAUUAUUCAAAUAUAGACUAACUAGACUCAAAAGAUUCAUCUUGCGAUUUAUAGACAAACUGUGUA
RNAcentral lists this long non-coding RNA (691 nucleotides) under Sorghum bicolor (sorghum). RNAcentral describes it as "long non-coding RNA (SBIC_LNC013788)". Lineage: Eukaryota; Viridiplantae; Streptophyta; Magnoliopsida; Poales; Poaceae. The record is from RNAcentral.